ACACAAAUCACCUGGAGACCUUGUUAAAAUGCACAUUCUGAUUCAAUACACCUGGAAUGAACACUGAGCGGCUUCAUUGCUAAUAAGCUCUCAGAUGAUUAGAAU
Molecule: microRNA precursor, 105 nt
Filed under: Marmota monax (woodchuck)
Lineage: Eukaryota; Metazoa; Chordata; Mammalia; Rodentia; Sciuridae
Source: RNAcentral